UUAAAAAUUUCGUUUCCGAUCAGACAGAAAGGCAUGGACGCAUAGACUCGGCGCGAGGCGCCGAAGCACGACUGAUAUCCACGGGUUUGGACGAAGGCGGCCAAGAGGCCCCGUUCGAUAAUGAUCCCUCCGCAGGUUCACCUACGGAGA
This 150-nucleotide unclassified non-coding RNA is filed under the name uncultured fungus. RNAcentral's name for it is "sequence contains ITS1". Lineage: Eukaryota; Fungi. The record is from RNAcentral.